This 288-nucleotide ribosomal RNA is filed under the name uncultured eukaryote. RNAcentral's name for it is "partial small subunit ribosomal RNA". The record is from RNAcentral.
CGUCCAGUCGGAGACGAGAUGCACUAUGCGGUCGGGUUCGGCAUGGCCUUCGAACGCUUCCAGCUCGACGGGGCGAUUGAUUUCUCGGAGCUCGUCGACACCAUCUCCCUGUCCGCGAUAUUCAGCUUUUGAUCUCCAAGCGCAGAAAGUCAGGGCCGACCAGGGUGUGCCCGAUCGGCCCUAAGAAGUCGUGCGAUUCUCGACAAAGAAGCCGUCUAGAAGGAGUACCGCACUCCGAUAGCCACGAUGAUGGGGUCGAGGCUCAGGUUCUCACUGUCUCCGUCGGGG